UUAUCGUCCUAGAGUAAGGCGGGACACGUGAAAUCCUGUCUGAACAUGGGGAGACCACUCUCCAAGCCUAAGUACUCGUGCAUGACCGAUAGCGAACAAGUACCGUGAGGGAAAGGUGAAAAGCACCCCGACAAGGGGAGUGAAAGAGAACCUGAAACCGGUUGCCUACAAACAGUCGGAGCCAUUAUUGGUGACGGCGUACCUUUUGUAUAAUGGGUCAACGACUUAGUGUGACAUGCAAGCUUAAGCCGAUAGGUGUAGGCGCAGCGAAAGCGAGUCUGAAUAGGGCGAUCAUAGUAUGUUGCAUUAGACCCGAAACCGAGUGAUCUAGCCAUGAGCAGGUUGAAGGUUGGGUAACACCAACUGGAGGACCGAACCCGCAUCUGUUGCAAUAGAUUGGGAUGACUUGUGGCUAGGGGUGAAAGGCCAAUCAAACUCGGAGAUAGCUGGUUCUCCGCGAAAACUAUUUAGGUAGUGCGUCGAUCGAAUACCUCAGGGGGUAGAGCACUGAAUGGGCUAUGGGGACUCACCGUCUUACUGAUCCUAAUCAAACUCCGAAUACCUGAGAGUACUAAUCGGCAGACACACGGCGGGUGCUAACGUCCGUCGUGAAGAGGGCAACAACCCUGACCUCNNNNNNNNNNNNNNNNNNNNNNNNNNNNNNNNNNNNNAACCAGGAUGUUGGCUUAGAAGCAGCCAUCAUUUAAAGAAAGCGUAACAGCUCACUGGUCUAAAUAAGGGUCUUUGCGCCGAAAAUGUAACGGGGCUAAAGCCAUGCACCGAAGCUGAGGCUUAGACAUUCUAACGAAUAUCUAGGGGUAGCGGAGCGUUCCGUAAGCCUGUGAAGGGAGACCCGUGAGGGCUCCUGGAGGUAUCGGAAGUGCGAAUGUUGACAUGAGUAACGAUAAAGAGGGUGAGAGACCCUCUCGCCGAAAGACCAAGGGUUCCUGCUUAAAGUUAAUCUGAGCAGGGUUAGCCGGCCCCUAAGGCGAGGCGGAAACGCGUAGUCGAUGGGAACCACGUUAAUAUUCGUGGGCCUGGUGGGAAGUGACGGAUUGCGUAACUUGUUCUGACUUAUUGGAUUGUCAGGGCGGGGAAGCGNNNNNNNNNNNNNNNNNNNGUUCCAGGAAAUAGCCCCACCGUAUAGACCGUACCCGAAACCGACACAGGUGGUCAGGUAGAGCAUACCAAGGCGCUUGAGAGAACUAUGCUGAAGGAACUCGGCAAAUUGCACGCGUAACUUCGGAAGAAGCGUGACCCUUUUCUACGCAAGUAGGAUGGGGUGGCACAGACCAGGGGGUAGCGACUGUUUAUCAAAAACACAGGGCUCUGCGAAGUCUUUAAGACGACGUAUAGGGCCUGACGCCUGCCCGGUGCUGGAAGGUUAAAGGGAGAGGUGCAAGCUUUGAACUGAAGCCCCAGUAAACGGCGGCCGUAACUAUAACGGUCCUAAGGUAGCGAAAUUCCUUGUCGGG
RNAcentral lists this ribosomal RNA (1475 nucleotides) under Aeromicrobium sp. Leaf245. RNAcentral's name for it is "partial 23S ribosomal RNA". It matches the Rfam family "Bacterial large subunit ribosomal RNA", at positions 399 to 1976 of the family's 2925-position model. The record is from RNAcentral. Lineage: Bacteria; Bacillati; Actinomycetota; Actinomycetes; Propionibacteriales; Nocardioidaceae.